Molecule: ribosomal RNA, 495 nt
Filed under: uncultured bacterium
Lineage: Bacteria
Description: partial 16S ribosomal RNA
Rfam family: Bacterial small subunit ribosomal RNA
Source: RNAcentral
GAUGAACGCUGGCGGCGUGCCUAAUACGUGCAAGUCGAGCGAACGGACGAGAAGCUUGCUUCUCUGAUGUUAGCGGCGGACGGGUGAGUAACACGUGGAUAACCUACCUAUAAGACUGGGAUAACUUCGGGAAACCGGAGCUAAUACCGGAUAAUAUUUUGAACCGCAUGGUUCAAAAGUGAAAGACGGUCUUGCUGUCACUUAUAGAUGGAUCCGCGCUGCAUUAGCUAGUUGGUAAGGUAACGGCUUACCAAGGCAACGAUGCAUAGCCGACCUGAGAGGGUGAUCGGCCACACUGGAACUGAGACACGGUCCAGACUCCUACGGGAGGCAGCAGUAGGGAAUCUUCCGCAAUGGGCGAAAGCCUGACGGAGCAACGCCGCGUGAGUGAUGAAGGUCUUCGGAUCGUAAAACUCUGUUAUUAGGGAAGAACAUAUGUGUAAGUAACUGUGCACAUCUGGACGGUACCUAAUCAGAAAGCCACGGCUAACUACG